Molecule: ribosomal RNA, 634 nt
Filed under: uncultured fungus
Lineage: Eukaryota; Fungi
Description: eukaryotic LSU rRNA
Rfam family: Eukaryotic large subunit ribosomal RNA
Source: RNAcentral
CCCGCUGAACUUAAGCAUAUCAAUAAGCGGAGGAAAAGAAACUAACAAGGAUUCCCCCAGUAACUGCGAGUGAAGAGGGAAAAGCUCAAAUUUGUAAUCUGGCAGUCUCUGGCUGUCCGAGUUGUAAAUUAGAGAAUCGCUAUCCGCGCUGGACUGUGCAUAAGUUCCUUGGAAAAGGGCAUCAUAGAGGGUGACAAUCCCGUCUUUGGCACAGACUCCCAGGGCUUUUGUGAAGCGCUCUCGAUGAGUCGAGUUGUUUGGGAAUGCAGCUCUAAAUGGGUGGUAAAUUCCAUCUAAAGCUAAAUAUUGGCGAGAAACCGAUAGCGCACAAGUACCGUGAGGGAAAGAUGAAAAGAACUUUGAAAAGAGAGUUAAACAGUACGUGAAAUUGUUGAAAGGGAAACGCUUGAAGUCAGUCACAUCCUUCAGAAAUCAACCUGACCGAAUGGUCUUGUGUACUUUCUGUUUGGAUGGGUCAGCAUCAAUUUUGACCAUUGGAAAAAGAUUCAAGGAAAGUGGCAUCUCUGGAUGUGUUAUAACCUUGGGUCAUACAAUGGUUGAGAUUGAGGAAAGCAGCACUUUGGUGUUUAGGAUGCUGGCAUAAUGGCUUUAAUCGACCCGUCUUGAAACACGG